This 932-nucleotide long non-coding RNA is filed under the name Struthio camelus australis. RNAcentral's name for it is "lncRNA (ENSSCUG00000008581.1)". Lineage: Eukaryota; Metazoa; Chordata; Aves; Struthioniformes; Struthionidae. The record is from RNAcentral.
AGAUUACCAUGUAUGUGGAACAAAGCAUGGUGAAAUUUAUGUGGAAAGUUUGGAGAAAUUUUACUCAAGCAAUAAUCUGAUUUGUCCAAAAAGCAACCUAAUUUUUAUCUCCUAUCUUCUGUUUAAUGUAUUUAUCUGGUAAAUAUCUCAUGAGAUAAACAUGAAAUAGCACAGGAAUGGAGAGUUAGGAGAGAGAUGAAAGGCCAGGAUUAUUUGGAGGGACAUGAAGGGAGAGGCUGCCUCGUCCCAGAACGGGGGUCCCACGUUGGGCAUGCCUGUGGGAGACAGGUCUGAAGGGAGUAUGGAAGCAAAGAGUGAGUUAAGAGUUUGAACGCAGGGAUGGCAGGAGGAGACAUGUGCCCGGUGGAGAUUUGAAAGCCAGGGAUUUGAACGUGAUGCAAUAGGAGUGAGACCGUGGUGCUGAUUUCCAAGGAAAAGAUUGCAGAUUUGUGCUGGCAGCCUGAGCAGACUGGAAAAAGAGGACAAGCAUGGUCAAGGCAACAUCUUGGACGGACUGAGCAGGAAGGUGAGGAGAGCUUGGCCUGUUUACCUUGAAGUUUGGCUCUUUGUUAGUUCCUCUAUGGAUGGACACCAUAUGGAAAGCACAGAGGAGAUGAUCAGUUGCCCAAGGCCGCUCAGUGGAUAUCCCUCUUUGUAAUUGGUUCUGUUCUGCACCUGCAUUGUCAUACAGCCUGGGAGAAGGACAGCAUGAUGAUAUAUUCCAGGAUGUAUCAGGGGAACGAUCCCCAGUGAUAGCAAAGAAGCAUUAACACUAUUAUACAAGGCCCAGGUAAAAGAACAUCCGGAUUUUUUUGCUGGUCAGGAAGAAUGAAUUACAUAUGAACAAGUGAAGAGCACUGCAAGAAUUAGCAAAAGAAAGGAGAGUCCCCUGUAGAAAUAAAGGUGAGCAAGCCAAACCGUCUAGGUUCCUG